Molecule: ribosomal RNA, 253 nt
Filed under: uncultured bacterium
Lineage: Bacteria
Description: partial 16S ribosomal RNA
Rfam family: Bacterial small subunit ribosomal RNA
Source: RNAcentral
GACAGAGGCCCCAAGCGUUAGGCGGAAUCACUGGGCUUAAAGCGUGUGUAGGCGGACGCCUAAGUGUCUUGUGAAAUCCCACGGCUCACCCGUGGAACUGCUGGGCAUACUGGGCGUCUUGGGCCAACUAGGGGCAGCCGGAACAAGCGGUGGAGCGGUGAAAUGCGUAGAGAUCGGCAGGAACACCCAGGGGGAAACCAGUCGACUGGGCAGCACCUGACGCUGAGGUGCGAGAGCGUGGGGAGCGAACCGG